UACGGAGGGAGCUAGCGUUGUUCGGAAUUACUGGGCGUAAAGCGCACGUAGGCGGCUUUGCAAGUUAGAGGUGAAAGCCCGGAGCUUAACUCCGGAAUUGCCUUUAAAACUGCAUCGCGAGAAUUGUGGAGAGGUGAGUGGAAUUCCGAGUGUAGAGGUGAAAUUCGUAGAUAUUCGGAAGAACACCAGUGGCGAAGGCGACUCACUGGACACAUAUUGACGCUGAGGUGCGAAAGCGUGGGGAGCAAACAGG
RNAcentral lists this ribosomal RNA (253 nucleotides) under uncultured bacterium. RNAcentral describes it as "partial 16S ribosomal RNA". It matches the Rfam family "Bacterial small subunit ribosomal RNA", at positions 524 to 776 of the family's 1533-position model. The record is from RNAcentral.